Molecule: unclassified non-coding RNA, 200 nt
Filed under: soil metagenome
Description: partial contains internal transcribed spacer 2 and large subunit ribosomal RNA
Source: RNAcentral
CGAGCGUCAUUACACCACUCAAGCCUCGCUUGGUAUUGGGCGACGCGGUCCGCCGCGCGCCUCAAAUCUCCCGGCUGGGUUCGAUCGUCCCUCAGCGUUGUGGAAACUAUUCGCUAAAGGUGCACUUUCGGGUCACGCCGUCAAACAAACCCCAUUAAAAGGUUGACCUCGGAUCAGGUAGGGAUACCCGCUGAACUUAA